Molecule: long non-coding RNA, 569 nt
Organism: Coregonus clupeaformis (lake whitefish)
Lineage: Eukaryota; Metazoa; Chordata; Actinopteri; Salmoniformes; Salmonidae
Exons: 3
Source: RefSeq, a predicted model, not a curated record
CUCUGAUCAUUCUACUGGUCCUGUUCUGCAAGAGGAACAAAGAUGAUGUAGCAGCUGAACCCAGAGAUGUUACGUAUGCUGACGUUAGAUUCACACAGGACCCAGAACCCAGGAGAAGGAGAGACUGAUCCAGUCUACGCUGCAGUGAAGACCUCCAACACCACAGUGACCCUGUUCAUCAGAACGUCAUGGUGGGUGGAAAAAGAUGCUCUCUUCAGCUGCGGUGAAUAACCACAACCCUGUCAGUCCAUCUCUUUACUUCUCUUGUCGCUUCUCUUCUCUCUCCCUACUUCCCUUUUCACACCAACGCACUUAUCUUUAGACUCUUCGGCCUUGACCGCCAUCAUCAUCAUCAACAACAGAGACGUGUGAAGUUUCCACAACAAGAGUUAGUUUAUCAUGAGAACAUACAGACACCAUUGACUGGAACUAUCAACAACAAGAGUUAGUUUAUCAUGAGAACCUAGAACCAGCUGACAGUAUCAGUAUUACUACUAACAGAAGGAACGUUGUAGUGUUAUGUCCAUGAUGAAUGUUGUAACUGCUUCAUUACUACUAACAGAAGGAAU